UGUUUAGUGUUUUUUUGGGGGCAUUUUUCGUGAGUCACAAUCACUGCUAAACAUAGAAGCUAUUGCUGCUUAUGUCCGUUGAAAAUCUGAUCACAUGACUUCCUAAUUACCCAGCAGCCCAGCUGUGUCCAGUUAAUUAAUUAAGAAAGCUGAUAAAAGCAGCGAGCAAACUGCUUAGCUGUUCACUUUGCUCUUCACUAUGGCUAAGGCCAUUGGGGGUUUCUUAAGGUUGUUGCUGCUGCUGUUUUUAGCUGCUAAAGGCUGUCAAUCAGAAGAUGCCCAUGUUGGAUCUGCUGAGAACUACAGAGAUGAAGCGGAACUGGAUCCCAGGGAUGAGCUGGAAUCCGACUCCUACGCACCCCGUGACCAAACUUUAUGGAGCCCUGAGCUGUUUGAUUGGGAAGAUUCAGAAUUGAAAACAAAUGAUUCCUUGAGCUCCGACAACUCAACUGUUGAUCAGCAUGAAGAAGAAACAUUGGAAAACAACUCGUCUGCACAGGAUCUGUCAAACACGGUCAAUUAUUCUGAAGACGAAGUAGAAGAAUUUGGGUGUCCAUCUGAGCAGCAGCCCCGCUCAUGGCCGUCCCAUAAGGAACCCCAACAGUCAACUUGCCAGUCCCAGGUGCCCCAGCAAUCAAAGUGUCCUCACCGUGCGCCACAGAAGCACAACUGUCUAUCAAAAGCUUCAAUGACGCCAGACAAACUCAAACACAUUUCUGUGCAGGAAUCUAAAAAGCUUGGUCUGCCAGGGCAGAAUGACCAAUCUCCAGAGAGGUAUCAACAAGAGCGCGGUUACCCUCCCUGGUGGCUUCAACAGCCCCAACUUCAUGAGUAUUUGUCCAAAUGGACCCAUCCUCUGGCUUGGCUGUACAACAUGGCACAGGAACUAAACCAGCAGGGAUACCCCCCGGUGUGGCCCCAAGAGACUCAUCGUGGCUGUAAGACAAAAGUUGCCCCUCAUCAAGGCUGUCAGUCCCAAACUUUGCCUUACCAAUAUUUUCAGAACCCUGUGAUCCCACACCAGAAUUUCCAUUCCCAAGCACCCCCACAAGAAGGUUUCUAUUCCCAGGAAUCCCCACACCAGGGUGUCCAUCCUCGCUCAUCCCCACAUCUGGGUCACUGGCCCCACCAACACAGAGGUGAACAGCAUCAUGGUCAAGCACAUCACCACCGCCAACCCAAAGCAGGGAAAUGGCAAGGCCCCCACAUCACCACCGCCAGCCCCAACCGGGGUCCCGGCAAAGCCCCCCACAUCACCACCGUCUGCCUCAAGUGGAUCCCCGGCAAGGCCCCCCACAUCACCCCCACCAACCUCAAGCGGAGUCCCAGCAAGCCCACACACACCACCAACCCCAAGUGGAGCCUUGGCAGAGCUUCAGGCCUAAUCUUUCACAAGGAAAGCAACACUUGCCGCAGCCCGUUCAGCACUGGGCAGAGCCACACUACGGCCAGCCACCCCACCAGCCAGAACUGAAGCCACAUGGCAUCCACCCAGGUUACCGCCACUGGCCUCGUGCAGAAAUGCAUCCUCUUUACCAACAGAACCAGGCACAAGAAAACCCACAAAACCAUUUUCAGCCCGACCAGCCUCAACCUGAGCCAAGUUAUAGCCACCAGCCACAACUGGAACGCUACAGCCAUCCACUUCCAUAUCAACCACAAACGGAACUUGAUCAGACCCACCAGCUGCCGCCACAUGGCCAUCCGUCAUACCAGCCAGUAGAGCCACAUCCCUUCAUGUCUCAAGUAGAACAGCAGUAUGGCCACCAAGCUGAACUUCAAAUGCCUCAAAGUCGUGGCAACUCGCCGGAGGGCCAAGAAGUGCCUACUCUCACCAAGAAGCCACGGUACUUGCCCAAAAGACCCCCUUUAAAAGCCAGAUGGCCAGUGUACAAGCCUUCAGCACACCACUAAGAUGUCGUUGAUCCCGCGAUGCCAGUAAAAACGCUGAUCUGUAGCCUCUUGUUUCUGUUUGAGAUGCUGUACUGACCUGUCCAAUAAAGAACUUUGUAAAGUUUGAACAAGUUUUGCUUAAAUUUAAACAAAGCCUGGGUCUGUUCAAUAAACUGCAAGAUUUUAGUAGAUACAAAUUAUUGUUUUGUGGAUUUGGAGAAGGGGUGUGACCGUGUCCUGCGGAGGGUGCUCUAGGCGUUCGGGAUCUGGGGAGCUUCACUGAAGGCUAUCCGGUCUUUGCAUGACCAGAACUGGAGCCUAGUUCACAUUGCUACCAGCAAGGCCAACUGGUUCCUG
Oryzias javanicus (javanese ricefish) is the source of this 2250-nucleotide long non-coding RNA. Lineage: Eukaryota; Metazoa; Chordata; Actinopteri; Beloniformes; Adrianichthyidae. The record is from Ensembl.